Molecule: ribosomal RNA, 268 nt
Filed under: uncultured prokaryote
Description: partial 16S ribosomal RNA
Rfam family: Bacterial small subunit ribosomal RNA
Source: RNAcentral
UACGUAGGGGCAAGCGUUGUCCGGAAUUAUUGGGCGUAAAGCGCUCGCAGGCGGUUUUUUAAGUCUGAUGUGAAAUCUUGCGGCUCAACCGCAAGCGGUCAUUGGAAACUGGAGAACUUGAGGGCAGAAGAGGAGAGUGGAAUUCCACGUGUAGCGGUGAAAUGCGUAGAGAUGUGGAGGAACACCAGUGGCGAAGGCGACUCUCUGGUCUGUAACUGACGCUGAGGAGCGAAAGCGUGGGUAGCGAACAGGAUUAGAUACCCGGGUA